CACCCGGUGCCUGCUGCCCGGCCCGGUGGGCUGAGGCGCCGGCGGGAAGAGCGCGGUUCUUUCGCCGCCGCCCCCCUUCCUUCCUUCCCUCCCGACCGCCGGAUCCCGGCCGGUUCCCCGCGGCGCCGGCGGGCGGGGCCCUCCUGCCGCCGGUCCCGGGCCGUGCUGCGCCACAGACAUGGCAGCACCCGGCCAGCGAGCAGAGGGCCUGGGGAGCGGAGCCCGCACCCCGAGGCCCCCGAGGUGGGCGAGUGGAUGUGCGAAUCACACAGUCGCAUAAUAAAUUAGAUUUAAAAAGACCUCUGAAAUCAUCGAGUCCAGCUCGUGACCGAACACUACCAUGUCAGCCAGACCGUGGCACUGAGUGCCACAUCCAGUCUUUCGUUAGACACCCCUAGAGACGGAGACUCCUCCACCUCCCCGGGCAGCUCCCAAUGCUUAACUGCCCUUUCUGUGAAUAAAUUCCUCCUAAUCCGGGGACGCUCGGCACUGCCCAUCCCGGGGGUGCCCAGAGCUGCCUCAGGCUCCCGUCGGCGUUACAAAACAGACAAAAAUCCCCAAACGCCAAAGGAUAAAUAAGCCCACAAGCCCCGCGCUCUCUGCCAGGCCCCAGCGUGUGCCGGGGACGGCGCAGGGCACGGUACGAGGGAUCGCAGAGUCCUGACAGCGCUCCCGCCCAUCAGAGGGGCUGUCGCAGGCAUAGGUGACACUGGCGCGGUCCUUCGCCAGCCCUCUCAGCCCCCGAGCCGUCCCAGAGGUUACGGGCCACGAGUUUUCCUCAAAUCUCUGAGGGCUCAUCCGUGAGGAAAUGCCCGAUCCCGGCAUUUCCCUUCGGUGCGUUUGGACUCCGUCGGGCCGCGCACCAUUACGAGAUAGGAGUGGAAGGGAAAUGCAGGCACGUGCAUGUUUUGCAUGGAGAAUCAGGGGGUGUUGAUCCAAAACCGGACAUUUGCGAGGAGGACUUCCCUUGCCGCUCACCCUCAGGGCCGAGCUCUCUGCAAUCCACGUAAGAGCCGCAGCAGGUAUUUGGGAAGAGCCUAGACUAAACACAGAAUCAAUACUGCAGCCUACAAGAGGAGCCUACUGGCAGGAGGAGAUUCACAGCCCUAUGUUUGUGUUGCUUUCCUGGGCCUGCCAACAAGAAGUCUGAGGUGGAGGAUGAGCCUGAUGUCCUGGAAAAGCUGCAGAGUCAGACUGAGUGAGCACGGGUGUGGCAGAGCUUUUCAGCUCCUCUUGCUGCAGCCUUUUCACAAAGGCAGAACCGGGUCUCGUUGGUAUUUCUCUUCCUGCUGUCCUGAUCACCAUUCUGCAUGCAAAUGUGCCCAUGGACUAAAUACCUUGAAGCUCAUACUUUCUAGGAGAUGCACAUUACCGUGUCUUCUUCAAGCCUGUGUAUGGUUUAUACUGCAUCUGGUCCCAAAAUAUGAGUGAGAGGAAAAACAGUGGUGGAAAUUGAAGGAAAGAAGGAAGCCAGGGCAGCUCUGAUAGCUUUUCUGUCUCCUCCUAAAGUGCAAUGGACAUACACAGAUGCGGGGAAGCACGUGCAUCCACGUCUGUCACUCACAACAGUUUGGAAUGGGGGUAAGACGACCUAUCACCCCAAACCCCAGCCAUUCUUGAAUGAGCUGCUGGAGAUCUUUGGUGCUGCCUCCCAUAGCCACCUCCUGGCUCAAUAGAGCUGGUGGCACUGGUCUCCCCAGCAGUGCCUGCAAGUAUAUGGGAAGCAGGCAAAGGCAAGGCUGGGAAAUGGGGAGGUGCAGAGCAGGAUGGAUGGACCAAGUGUCCCGAACAGAGAGAGAAAAUUGAAAUCCCAUAGAGGGAACUCUUCCUUCUUUUGGAAGGCACUUUGAAGGGCAGUUUUAAAAGAUUCCUCCAGUGGACUAAAGAAGAAGACAUGCUCGAGGUACAAGCACAUACUGCUUUCAGAACCAAGACCAUCGCUGCGGAUGCAAAGACCUGGUGAGCUACCCCUUCUGUGUCCAAUGGAGAGAGGCUGGAAAACUGCUAAAAAAGGGAAAGAACUGGCCAAUGCCCUGUUGUUGUGAAGGAGUCAAGUAGCAGACAGAGACACAAAACAGAACUUGCAGCACCUUGACUUCUGGGACUGAACGCAAUGUCAGCUCAGGCACAGCCUCAAGCAAAUGCACACAAAGCCACAGAGGAGAGGAAAAUGUUUCUGUCCCCAGCUAAAACAAAUAUGCUCAGGGCAAUAUGCACAGAUGAAAGAGGGAUGAAUCAGAAUGAUACAGCUGGACCCAAAACAAAGUUCUCAAGGAUAUAAAUUGGUGAGUAUCUGGGUACCAGGUCCUGAAAAACCAAACAUUGCAAACAAAAUGGACAAUCAAAAACAGGGACAUCUGACAUUUCACUCAUCUCAACGGGACAUUAAAUAGGAGUUCAAAUUUCAGGGAAUGGCAUUUAAUCUGGACACCCUGUUGCCUGGGUGAAUACUUUGACCACUGUUGAGAUUAUCUUCCCCCUCCUCUUCUGUUCUCUUCCUGCCCUCCUUCCUCUUUCUCACCAAAACUACCUGACAAAUCCAAGAUAAGCUUUCUACCAAGAAACAUAGUAAAUAAACUGUCUAGCUAUAAA
This is a non-coding RNA of Taeniopygia guttata (zebra finch), 2592 nucleotides long. The record is from RefSeq and is a predicted model, not a curated record. Lineage: Eukaryota; Metazoa; Chordata; Aves; Passeriformes; Estrildidae.